RNAcentral lists this small nuclear RNA (133 nucleotides) under Phyllodoce sp. AMEBU14763. RNAcentral describes it as "partial U2 snRNA". It matches the Rfam family "U2 spliceosomal RNA", at positions 25 to 155 of the family's 192-position model. From Rfam's summary of the family: U2 is a small nuclear RNA (snRNA) component of the spliceosome (involved in pre-mRNA splicing). Lineage: Eukaryota; Metazoa; Annelida; Polychaeta; Phyllodocida; Phyllodocidae. The record is from RNAcentral.
GAUCAAAGUGUAGUAUCUGUUCUUAUCAGCUUAAUAUCUGAUACGUUCCCCCACCGGGGAACUACGAUAUUAAACUGAUUUUUGGAACUUGGCGAAGUGUCAGGGGCUUGCUCCGCCUUUGCCACGGGUUGGC